CAAGUCCAUAUGGAUCAGCGCUGCCUCUUAGCCUUCACUACUGCUGUCAAAGUAACCAGCCAUCAUGGUACAAAAGGAAAACUAAGAAAUACGUUCUUCCUGGGCUCAAGUGGGGUUUGGUAGCCCCACUUGCAAAUGAGCUUUUUAUUUCUUUCUAGAAGCAUUCUGUCAUUGGAUGUAGUAGGAUUCCCUUUUUCAUGUCUUCUGCGUGUCGACAAAGUCUUUAUUGAACCCCAGUUGAGAUGACCACCAGGAGAUCACUUGGAAAAUGGUCAAGAUGAUUCUGCCUCCUCCGUCCCUGAAAAAGAAACCUCACAAAGUUGUUUGUAUGUAUUUAUUUAUUUAUUUAUUUAUUAUUAUUUUUGUCAUCUUUUAAGGCCACACCUGCGGCAUAUGGAAGUUCCCAGGCUAAAGGCCGAAAUGGAGCUAUAGCCACGGGCCUACAUCACAGCCACAGCAAUUCGGGAUCCAAGCUGUGUCUGCAACCUACCCCUCAGUUUAUGGAAUGCCGGAUCCUUAACCCACUGAGCAAGGCCAGGGAUUGAACCCACAUCCUCAUGGAUAAUAGACGGGUUCGUUAACUGCUGAGCCAUGACAGGAACUCCUAAAUUUUUUUUUUUAUUUUUAUUUUUAUUUUUUGUCUUUUUGCCAUUUCUUGGGCCGCUCCCAAGGCAUAUGGAGGUUCCCAGGCUAGGGGUCGAAUCGGAGCUGUAGCCGCUGGCCUACACCAGAGCCACAGCAACGCGAGAUCCGAGCCGUGUCUGUAACCUACACCACAGCUCACGGCAAUGCCGGAUCGUUAACCCACUGAGCAAGGGCAGGGAUCGAACCCGCAACCUCAUGGUUCUGUUAACCACUGCGCCACAACGGAAACUCCUAAAUUUUAUUUAAAUCACUAUCCAGGGUUGAGUUCUCCCUUUGCUUUCUUUUUCAGUGGGGACUUGAGGUUGGUUCCAUUACUUCCACUUCUAGAGAAGUAUAGCUUUCCUUGUUUCUUUCUUUAUAAUAUGCCUUCCUUCCUUUCUUCCUUCCUACUUUUUGGCUAUGCUGGUGGCAUGCAGAAGUUAUCAGGCCAGGGGUCAAAUCCACACCACAGCAGUAACCAGAGCCACAGCAGUGACAGUGCCAGCGCCUUAACCCACUAAGCCACCAGGGAACUCCUAAUAUUUAUUUUUAUGAACAGAGGUUGUAGUUUAAAUUUCCUCCAUAUGGUUUUUAGAGCAAAAAGCACAAAACUGGCAUCCAGGAGAUCUAGGAUUUCCCCCCAGCUCUGCCAGUUGUUAACUGAUGACCUUAGCGGGUUAGGGAUCUGGCAAGGCAUUUAGCUUUGUGUCUAGUUCCAAUCUCUUAAAUGUGGGGAUUGAACUAGAUGGCCUUGAAAAUUCCUUUUAGUGUCAGCAUUCUGGGACUCAGAUAGUUGCAUAGAAUAAAAAUAUCCUUAUUUGCUCCUAAAAGAUUGCCCUUUAUAAUUAAUGUUGUUUGAAAAGAGUACUGAUGUGCAGAUCUUGGAUAAAUUGUUAAAAUUUAAGGCAGCCUACCAGACUGUUCUUGCUAACUCGAAAUGAUGUUUAGAGGCAUAACACUGUGGCUUUUGCAGGCAGUCAGCUUGUUUUUGAGAAGUGCCAUCAACUGAAGUCAUGAAAGUAGCUGCUGAGCUGUGUGUUCAAAGGUGUACAAGAUCACUAGCACAGAGAACUAGAGUCACAAACAUCAGGAAUACAGCCAUAAGUGCAGAUGUGGGAAAAGACAGUUAAGAGACAAACCAUUAUUGGAGUUCUUGGUGUGGCUUCGUGGGCUAAAGACGAGACAUUUUCUCUGUGAGGAUGUGGGUUCCAUCCCUGGACUCUCUCGGUGGCUUAAGGAUCCGGUUGCCACAAGCUACGGUGUAGGUCACAGAUGCCACUCAGAUCCAGUGUUGCUACAGCUGUGACUUAGACCUGCAGCUGCAGCUCGGAUUCGACCCCUGGUCUGGGAACUUCCAUAUGCUGCAGAUGUUGCU
Molecule: long non-coding RNA, 1999 nt
Filed under: Sus scrofa (pig)
Lineage: Eukaryota; Metazoa; Chordata; Mammalia; Artiodactyla; Suidae
Description: lncRNA (ENSSSCG00030062109.1)
Source: RNAcentral